RNAcentral lists this ribosomal RNA (429 nucleotides) under Gemmatimonadota bacterium. RNAcentral's name for it is "Gemmatimonadetes bacterium partial 16S ribosomal RNA". It matches the Rfam family "Bacterial small subunit ribosomal RNA", at positions 355 to 776 of the family's 1533-position model. The record is from RNAcentral. Lineage: Bacteria; Pseudomonadati; Gemmatimonadota.
UAGGGAAUCUUCGGCAAUGGACGAAAGUCUGACCGAGCAACGCCGCGUGAGUGAAGAAGGUUUUCGGAUCGUAAAACUCUGUUGUUAGAGAAGAACAAGGACGUUAGUAACUGAACGUCCCCUGACGGUAUCUAACCAGAAAGCCACGGCUAACUACGUGCCAGCAGCCGCGGUAAUACGUAGGUGGCAAGCGUUGUCCGGAUUUAUUGGGCGUAAAGCGAGCGCAGGCGGUUUCUUAAGUCUGAUGUGAAAGCCCCCGGCUCAACCGGGGAGGGUCAUUGGAAACUGGGAGACUUGAUUGCAGAAGAGGGGAGUGGAAUUCCAUGUGUAGCGGUGAAAUGCGUAGAUAUAUGGAGGAACACCAGUGGCGAAGGCGGCUCUCUGGGCUGUAACUGACGCUGAGGCGCGAAAGCGUGGGGAGCAAACAGG